RNAcentral lists this long non-coding RNA (954 nucleotides) under Homo sapiens (human). RNAcentral's name for it is "HSALNT0187435". Lineage: Eukaryota; Metazoa; Chordata; Mammalia; Primates; Hominidae. The record is from RNAcentral.
AAAAAACUGAAAGGAAAGAAAUAUAAUUCCAUAUUCUAGAAAAAGCCCCAGAACUAGCUCUUCUUUCUUCUUUUCUUUUUUUUGGGGGGACGGAGGCUCGGUCUGUUGUCCAGGCUGGAGUGCAGUGGCGCGAUCUCGGCUCACUGCAAGUUCUGCCUCCCGAGUUCACGCCAUUCUCCUGCCUCAGCCUUCUGAGUUGCUGGGACUACAGGCGCCCGCCACCAGGCGCGGCUAAUUUUUUUUUUUUUUUUUUUUUUUUUUUGUAUUUUCAGUACAGACGGGGUUUCACCGUAUUAGCCAGGAUGGUCUCAAUCUUCUAACCUCGUGAUCUGCCCACCUCGGCCUCGCAAAGCGCUGGGAUUACAGGCGUGAGCCUCCGCGACCGGCCAGAACUAGCUCUUCUUAAGGAUGUGACAGUGAUCUGCACUAGAGCUUCAGGCAGCUAAGGAUAUCUGAAAAGGAGAGACUCUAUGGAGUGUGGAUGUAGAAAAGGAGUUAUUCCUACCGGAAAAAAAUGAACUGUGGACACAGUCACUCAAGACCAGAGAAACAACCACUAUGAGUAAGUAGCUUCAAUUUCACUGUUACCAGGAGGGCACACACCAGAAAGCCUGGGACAAAGCCUGGGCUAGAGCCCUCAGGAUUCAUUCUCAGGCUUCCUGGUGCUGUGGUUCAACAGCCUUUGUGGGGAUGGGGAGAACCAGAGACUAUCACCAUCACAUGUAAAAAAUAUUACCACAGCAACAGCUGUCAAAAACCAGCUGGAGCUGAAGUUACACACCAUUUGAAAUCCACACUGUACUUGCUUUCUUGUGAUGGGCUUGAGACAUGUGCAGAGACACCUUAAACAUGUGUAGGUGACCACCCUUUUGAAAGGCAGAGGAGGGCCUCUUCAUGAACUCUUUCUACUCAUUUGUUUUCCUAUCAGUUCACCAUUUCAACUAGAAAAGAUGC